RNAcentral lists this long non-coding RNA (864 nucleotides) under Setaria viridis. Its description in RNAcentral is "long non-coding RNA (SVIR_LNC002308)". The record is from RNAcentral. Lineage: Eukaryota; Viridiplantae; Streptophyta; Magnoliopsida; Poales; Poaceae.
AAAUCAGUGCUUAGACAUUGCUUUAGUUCUUCAUGCCUGCAAGUGUAUAUAAAAUAUUCUCCAAAUGAACAUUAGGCAUAGAGAAUGAGACAGAGAGAGAAGGGAGGUUGAGAUCAUUACUAUUUGAGCAUUUCCAGUAAUUUUAGUUCCAGAUGCUGCAUUAACUUCCUGUCACUUUUUGUCACAUUCAAACCCUCCACCUCUACAGGUUUCUGCGUAUACUCCCUCACGGUUUCCGUUAACUUCACCCUCAACCUAUUUUACAAAAAAUGCUGACCUCAGACCUUAAAUGUCUUUUGUUGCUGGCGUUUGUCUAUAUUAGAAUUCAUGCAAGGAUAAAGUGUGGGAUGAGCUGCUAUGGUUGUUAGACGACUCAUACUUGUAACUACAUCAGAAUCAUCUCGUCGUUUAUAAAUUCACAUUAGUCUUUCGAUAUCGACCAGAGUAAUGUCUACUACUAAGAUAUUAAAUCAAGAAAUCUUAAAGAAAAUAUGGUGGAUACUAACUUAAUAGAUAAUAAAAGAUAAGAUUGAAGAGACAAGUGAGUCAAAAUGGCACCUGUGAUAGCUAUUGCAGACUUCCAUUGCGAGAUCUUUUGAGUGACUCAACAGAUGUGAGUAAGGAAUAUUCCGCUCCCGUGAUCCAAAACCCUUCUCAAUCAUGGUCGUCAAUAGAAAACGGUAAUACGGCACCGUAUCUCCAGAAAUAAUAAACCUAAGCAACCAGAAGAUUAUUGAAUUUAGAACUCAAAAUCAGCAACACCAGAAUGAAAUCACACAAAGGAAAUAAAUGUACCCAUCAAGAAACACCAAGAUCUUCUUUGCCACUGAGGCGUCUUUCUUAGCCAGUUCUUCUUCCUUCGUC